Rhinopithecus roxellana (golden snub-nosed monkey) is the source of this 3615-nucleotide RNA transcript. It is a transcript of the gene named cold shock domain-containing protein E1 pseudogene, with no coding region annotated. NCBI's taxonomy places the organism in Eukaryota, Metazoa, Chordata, Mammalia, Primates, Cercopithecidae. The record is from RefSeq and is a predicted model, not a curated record. The transcript has a single exon.
CCGGGCCGUGCUGCUUAUGGCGGCACUGGAGAGGGGGCGCUGAGCUGUUGGGUAUGAAGUGUAACAGAACAGACUUUACCACCUGAAACUGCUGCUUCAAGUUCAGAUCAGGCAAGGAACAAACCUCGUAACAACUAACAAGACCAAAGAAGAGCACACUUAAGUUGAAGACACAACACUUGAUCUGAAACAAGAAGUUUGUGCCUACUCAACAGCUUUGAAAGAGCACUUCCCAACGCUGCUAGUAGUCUUUGUUUUCUUCAGGGCUGUACUGUGAGAUUGCCCGGUACAGCAGCAGUUGUAUUCUUUAUUAGCUUGGUAGAUCAUUUUCUCUUGCUCUUUUUUUUAAUACUAGCAACUUUCAUCCUUUGAAACGUGUGCUGAAAAGAAGAAUCAGCAAAUACUACUGAAAGUGCAAUAUUCGAUUAUCACUGCGAGAUGAGCUUUGAUCCAAACCUUCUCCACAACAAUGGACAUAAUGGGUACCCUAAUGGUACUUCAGCAGCACUGCGUGAAACUGGGGUUAUUGAAAAACUGUUAACCUCUUACGGAUUUAUUCAGUGUUCAGAACGUCAAGCUAGACUUUUCUUCCACUGUUCACAGUAUAAUGGCAACCUGCAAGACUUAAAAGUAGGAGAUGAUGUUGAAUUUGAAGUAUCAUCGGACCGGCGGACUGGGAAACCCAUUGCUGUUAAACUGGUGAAGAUAAAACAAGAAAUCCUCCCUGAAGAACGAAUGAAUGGACAAGUUGUGUGCGCUGUUCCUCACAACUUAGAGAGUAAAUCUCCAGCUGCCCCGGGUCAGAGUCCAACAGUGAGUGUAUGCUACGAACGUAAUGGGGAAGUGUUUUAUCUGACUUACACGCCUGAAGAUGUCGAAGGGAAUGUUCAGCUGGAAACUGGAGAUAAAAUAAACUUUGUAAUUGAUAACAAUAAACAUACUGGUGCUGUAAGUGCUCGCAACAUUAUGCUGUUGAAAAAGAAACAAGCCCGCUGUCAGGGAGUAGUUUGUGCCAUGAAGGAGGCAUUUGGCUUUAUUGAAAGAGGUGAUGUUGUAAAAGAGAUACUCUUUCACUAUAGUGAAUUUAAGGGUGACUUAGAAACCUUACAGCCUGGUGAUGAUGUGGAAUUCACAAUCAAGGACAGAAAUGGUAAAGAAGUUGCAACAGAUGUCAGACUAUUGCCUCAAGGAACAGUCAUUUUUGAAGAUAUCGGCAUUGAACAUUUUGAAGGAACUGUAACCAAAGUUAUCCCAAAAGUACCCAGUAAAAACCAGAAUGACCCAUUGCCAGGACGCAUCAAAGUUGACUUCGUGAUCCCUAAAGAACUGCCCUUUGGAGACAAAGAUACGAAAUCCAAGGUGACCCUGCUGGAAGGUGACCAUGUUAGGUUUAAUAUUUCAACAGACCGACUCGACAAAUUAGAACGAGCAACCAAUAUAGAGGUUCUGUGAAAUACAUUUCAGUUCACUAAUGAAGCCCGAGAAAUGGGUGUGAUUGCUGCCAUGAGAGAUGGUUUUGGUUUCAUCAAGUGUGUGGAUCGUGAUAUUCGUAUGUUCUUCCACUUCAGUGAAAUUCUGGAUGGGAACCAGCUCCAUAUUGCAGAUGAAGUAGAGUUUACUGUGGUUCCUGAUAUGCUCUCUGCUCAAAGAAAUCAUGCUAUUAGGAUUAAAAAACUUCCCAAGGGCACGGUUUCAUUUCAUUCCCAUUCAGAUCACCGUUUUCUGGACACGGUAGAAAAAGAAGCCACUUUUUCCAAUCCUAAAACCACUAGCCCAAAUAAAGGCAAAGAGAAGGAGGCGGAGGAUGGCAUUAUUGCUUAUGAUGACUGUGGGGUGAAACUGACUAUUGCUUUUCAAGCCAAGGAUGUGGAAGGAUCUACUUCUCCUCAAAUAGGAGAUAAGGUUGAAUUUAGUAUUAGUGACAAACAGAGGCCUGGACAGCAGGUUGCAACUUGUGUGCGACUUUUAGGUCGUAAUUCUAACUCAAAGAGGCUCUUGGGUUAUGUGGCAACUCUGAAGGAUAAUUUUGGAUUUAUUGAAACAGCCAAUCAUGAUAAGGAAAUCUUUUUCCAUUACAGUGAGUUCUCUGGUGAUGUUGAUAGCCUGGAACUGGGGGACAUGGUCGAGUAUAGCUUGUCCAAAGGCAAAGGCAACAAAGUCAGUGCAGAAAAAGUGAACAAAACACACUCAGUGAAUGGCAUUACUGAGGAAGCUGAUCCCACCAUUUACUCUGGCAAAGUAAUUCGCCCCCUGAGGAGUGUUGAUCCAACACAGACUGAGUACCAAGGAAUGAUUGAGAUUGUGGAGGAGGGCGAUAUGAAAGGUGAGGUCUAUCCAUUUGGCAUCGUUGGGAUGGCCAACAAAGGGGAUUGCCUGCAGAAAGGGGAGAGCGUCAAGUUCCAAUUGUGUGUCCUGGGCCAGAAUGCACAAACUAUGGCUUACAACAUCACACCCCUGCGUAGGGCCACAGUGGAAUGUGUGAAAGAUCAGUUUGGCUUCAUUAACUAUGAAGUAGGAGAUAGCAAGAAGCUCUUUUUCCAUGUGAAAGAAGUUCAGGAUGGCGUUGAGCUACAGGCAGGAGAUGAGGUGGAGUUCUCAGUGAUUCUUAAUCAGCGCACUGGCAAGUGCAGCGCCUGUGAUGUUUGGCGAGUCUGUGAGGGCCCCAAGGCUGUUGCAGCUCCUCGACCUGAUCGGUUGGUCAAUCGCUUGAAGAACAUCACUCUGGAUGAUGCUAGUGCUCCUCGCCUAAUGGUUCUUCGUCAGCCAAGGGGACCAGAUAACUCAAUGGGGUUUGGUGCAGAAAGAAAGAUCCGUCAAGCUGGUGUCAUUGACUAACCACAUCCACAAAGCACAUCAUUAAUCCACUAUGAUCAAGUUGGGGGGAAUCUGGUGAAGGGUUCUGAAUAUCUCCUUCUUCAUCCCUCCCGAAAUCUGAAAUACUUAUUCUAUUGAGCUAUUACACCAGUUUUAACACCUUCCUCGUGUUAUGUUUAAAAAAAUAAAUAAAUUUAAGAAAACCAUUUUAAAAUAAUGCACAGUUGCAGCCUGGAAAACUUAAGGUGGCGCCUUAUAGUAUCAAUUUUAGGAGCUUUAUUUGGUGCAUUUAACGCAACUGGUAAUUGCAAAAUCCACUUCGCCUGUGUUAAGUGAAAAAUAUAGACUGUUAUCUUGUUGGCCCUAUGAAAUUCUGCACUUUUCAUUAUAUACUGUACCUUCAUUAAUUACUUCUGGCAAGAUGUUCUGCCUUAGCACUCAGUUGCAUUCUUUUUCUUUUUCUUCCUGUUCAUUAUGCUUUAAUUCUGAGGACCAUAUGAGGGUAGAAUAUAUUAUCUUUUAAAAAUUACAAAGAUUUGUAUAGGCAAACCAUUUCUUAAAGUUGAUGGCCAAAUUUUAAAAUGUUAUUUUUCAUAUCAUUUAUAAUCUUGUCACAAUCCACUUAACGAAGUUUGGUUAUAUUUCAGUGAAAAUUAUCUUACAGAGUAGGUUUUUUUUCGUGGGUUGGGGGGUAACUUUACUACAAUUAGUAAGUACGGUGCAGAAUUUCAUGCAAAUGAGGAGUGCCAGCAGUGUGAUAAUUUAAACAUAUUUAAACAAAAACAACAACAAAAAAAUGAA